RNAcentral lists this ribosomal RNA (497 nucleotides) under uncultured bacterium. RNAcentral's name for it is "partial 16S ribosomal RNA". It matches the Rfam family "Bacterial small subunit ribosomal RNA", at positions 28 to 507 of the family's 1533-position model. The record is from RNAcentral.
GAUGAACGCUGGCGGCGUGCCUAAUACAUGCAAGUCGAGCGAACAGACGAGGAGCUUGCUCCUCUGACGUUAGCGGCGGACGGGUGAGUAACACGUGGAUAACCUACCUAUAAGACUGGGAUAACUUCGGGAAACCGGAGCUAAUACCGGAUAAUAUAUUGAACCGCAUGGUUCAAUAGUGAAAGACGGUUUUGCUGUCACUUAUAGAUGGAUCCGCGCCGCAUUAGCUAGUUGGUAAGGUAACGGCUUACCAAGGCAACGAUGCGUAGCCGACCUGAGAGGGUGAUCGGCCACACUGGAACUGAGCCACGGUCCAGACUCCUACGGGAGGCAGCAGUAGGGAAUCUUCCGCAAUGGGCGAAAGCUUGCCGGAGCAACGCCGCGUGAGUGAUGAAGGUCUUCGGAUCGUAAAACUCUGUUAUUAGGGAAGAACAAAUGUGUAAGUAACUAUGCACGUCUUGACGGUACCUAAUCAGAAAGCAACGGCUAACUACGUG